UCGACUAGGCGGACUGGUCCGAGUGAAGAGAAAAAAAAGCCAUACGAAACUCAAAAUAUUUUCCGGAGAUAUUCAUUUUCCUGAAGAGGCGGAUAAGAUAUUAGGUGGCUGUUUGAUACCGCCAGAAAGACAAAAAAAAGAUUCUAAGGAAUCAAAAAAAAGGAAAAAUUGGGUCUUUGUUCAACGGAAAAAAAUUCUCAAGAGCAAGGAAAAGUAUUUUGUUUCCGUUCGCCCUACAGUGGCAUAUGAAAUGGACGAUGGAAGAAAUUUAGCAACACUUUUUCCGCAGGAUCUCUUGCAAGAAGAAAAUAAUCUCCAAAUUCGACUUGUCAAUUUUAUUUCUCAUGAAAAUAGCAAGUUAACUCAAAGAAUUUAUCACACAAAUAGUCAAUUUGUUAGAACUUGCUUAGUAGUGAAUUGGGAACAAGAAGAAAAAGAAAAGGCUGGUGCUUCCCUUGUUGAGGUAAGAGCAAAUGAUCUUAUUCACGAUUUCCUAAGAAUUGAGUUAGUCAAGUCCACUAUUUCGUAUACACGAAAAAGGUAUGGUAGGACAAGUGCAGGACCGAUUCCCCAUAAUAGGUUAGAUCGCGCCAAUAUCAAUUCUUUUUAUUCGAAGGCGAAGAUUGAAUCACUUAGCCAACAUCCAGAAACUAUUGGCACUUUGUUGAAUCGAAAUAAAGAAUACCACUCUUUGAUGAUUUUGUCGGCAUCCAACUGUUCUCGAAUUGGUUUAUUCAAGAAUUCAAAACAUCCCAAUGCGAUAAAAGAAUGGAAUCCUAGAAUUCCUCUGCGAGAAAUUUUUGGGCCCUUAGGCGCUAUUGUAGCUAGUAUAUCGCAUUUUUCUUCAUCUUACUAUUUACUAACGCAUAAUAAAAUCCUGUUAAAAAAAUAUUUGUUCGUUGACAAUUUAAAACAAACCUUCCAAGUACUUCAAGAACUUAAAUACUCUUUAAUAGAUGAAAAUAAAAGGAUUUCUAAUUUCGAUAGUAACAUAAUGUUGGAUCCAUUCCUUUUGAAUUGUCACUUUGUCCAUCAUGAUUCUUGGGAAGAGACAUUGGCAAUAAUUCACCUUGGACAAUUUAUUUGUGAAAAUGUAUGUCUAUUUAAAUCGCACAUAAAAAAAUCCGGUCAAAUUUUCAUUGUAAAUAUGAAUUCUUUUGUUAUAAGAGCAGCUAAACCUUAUUCGGCCACUACAGGAGCAACUGUUAAUGGUCAUUAUGGAGAAAUCCUUUACAAGGGAGAUAGGUUAGUUACGUUUAUAUAUGAAAAAUCGAGAUCUAGUGACAUAACGCAAGGUCUUCCAAAAGUGGAACAAAUCUUUGAAGCGCGUUCAAUUGAUUCAUUAUCCCCGAAUCUCGAAAGGAGAAUUGAGGAUUGGAAUGAGCGUAUACCAAGAAUUCUUGGGGUCCCUUGGGGAUUCUUGAUUGGAGCUGAGCUAACCAUAGCCCAAAGUCGUAUCUCUUUGGUUAAUAAAAUCCAAAAGGUUUAUCGAUCCCAAGGGGUACAGAUCCAUAAUAGACAUAUAGAGAUUAUUAUACGCCAAGUAACAUCAAAAGUGCGGGUUUCCGAAGAUGGAAUGUCUAAUCUUUUUUCGCCUGGGGAAUUAAUCGGACUAUUGCGAGCGGAAUGAGCAGGACGAGCUUUGGAUGAAUCAAUCUAUUAUCGGGCAAUCUUAUUGGGAAUAACAAGGGCUUCCCUAAAUACCCAAAGUUUCAUAUCUGAAGCAAGUUUUCAAGAAACUGCUCGAGUUUUAGACAAAGCUGCCCUACGAGGUCGCAUUGAUUGGUUGAAAGGCUUGAAAGAAAACGUAGUUCUGGGGGGAUUAUACCUGUUGGUACCGGAUUCCAAAAAUUUGUGCAUCGUUCCCCACAAGACAAGAACCUUUAUUUCGAAAAAAAAUUAUUCGCGUCGGAAAUGAGAGAUUUUUUGUUUCUCCAUACAGAAUUAGUUUCUUCAGAUUCUGACGUAACAAACAAUUUUUAUGAGACAUAAGAACCCCCAUUUAACAUUUAACCCUAUAUCAUUUAAGGAUACAUAAAAAAUAUUUUUUAUUUCAAGCUAUUUCGGAUCUUUCUUAAUCUUCAAAAAGAACUAAAUUCCGUAAUGGAAUGGUAGGAUUAAAAAAAAGGAAGUGUGGAAAAAAUGACAAGAAGAUAUUGGAACAUUAAUUUGAAAGAGAUGAUAGAAGCAGGAGUUCAUUUUGGUCAUGGUAUUAAGAAAUGGAAUCCUAAAAUGGCCCCUUACAUUUCGGCAAAGCGUAAAGGUACUCAUAUUAUAAAUCUCGCUAGAACGGCUCGUUUUUUAUCAGAAGCUUGUGAUUUAGUUUUUGAUGCAGCAAGUCAGGGAAAAAGUUUCUUAAUUGUUGGUACCAAAAAAAGAGCAACAGAUUUAGUAGCAUCAGCUGCAAUAAGGGCUCGUUGUCAUUAUGUUAAUAAAAAGUGGUUCAGUGGUAUUUUAACGAAUUGGUCGAUUACGAAAACUAGACUUUCUCAAUUUAGAGACUUAAGAGCAGAAGAAAAAAUGGGAAAAUUCCACCAUCUCCCAAAAAGAGAUGUGGCAAUCUUUAAGAGAAAAUUAUCUACCUUGCAAAGGUACCUCGGCGGGAUCAAAUAUAUGACGAGAUUGCCAGACAUUGUGAUCGUCCUUGAUCAGCAAAAAGAGUAUAUAGCUCUCCGGGAAUGUGCCAUUUUGGGGAUUCCUACUAUUUCUUUAGUCGAUACAAAUUGUGACCCGGAUCUCGCGAAUAUAUCGAUUCCAGCCAACGAUGACACUAUGACUUCAAUUCGAUUGAUUCUUAACAAAUUAGUAUUUUCAAUUUGUGAGGGCCGUUCUCUCUAUAUAAGAAAUCGUUGAUUAAGAAUAUAUAGUGAAUUCUUGGGCAACUGCGUAAAUUUAUGGAAUCACUUACUUUACUAUAUCUUUUUUUUUGCAUAGAAUUUUUUUUGCAUAGAAAAAAGAAGGGGAAUAUUGAUAUAUAUUAGAGGGUAUUGAUAUAUAUUAUGAUCUGAUGUGCUUUCUUGGUAUCCUAAAUAUAAGAUUAAUACUUCAAGUUGCUGAGUUGAGAAAGAGAUGGUUGAAUCAAAAGAAUUCCUUUUUUGAAGUUCAAUUUUUAUCAGAGGACAAUAUGAAUAUUAUACCUUGUUCCAUUAAAACACUCAAGGGGUUAUACGAUAUAUCGGGUGUAGAAGUAGGCCAACACUUCUAUUGGCAAAUAGGAGGUUUCCAAAUUCUUGCCCAAGUACUCAUCACUUCUUGGGUCGUAAUUACUAUCUUGCUAGAUUCAGUUGUCAUAGCUGUUCGGAAUCCACAAACCAUACCGACCGACGGUCAGAAUUUUUUUGAAUAUGUCCUUGAGUUUAUUCGAGACUUGAGCAAAACUCAGAUUGGAGAAGAAUAUGGUCCCUGGGUUCCCUUUAUUGGAACUAUGUUCCUUUUUAUUUUUGUUUUGAAUUGGUCGGGUGCUCUUUUACCUUGGAAAAUUAUAGAGUUACCCCAUGGGGAAUUAGCAGCGCCCACGAAUGAUAUAAAUACUACUGUUGCUUUAGCUUUACUCACAUCAGCGGCAUAUUUUUAUGCUGAUCUUAGCAAAAAAGGAUUGAGCUAUUUCGAGAAAUAUAUUAACCCAACUCCAAUCCUUUUACCAAUUAACAUUCUAGAAGAUUUCACAAAACCAUUAUCGCUUAGCUUUCGACUUUUCGGGAAUAUAUUGGCGGAUGAAUUAGUCGUUGUUGUUCUUGUUUCUUUAGUCCCCUUAGUAAUCCCUAUACCGGUCAUGUUUCUUGGAUUAUUUACAAGCGGUAUUCAAGCUCUUAUUUUUGCAACAUUAGCCGCAGACUAUAUAGGUGAAUCCAUGGAGGGUUAUCAUUGGAUUGACUCUUUUUGGAAAUAGUAUUUUUUUUGCAGCUUAGCUCAAUUCAUGCAUGGUUCCAGAUAAUCUGCUUGGUUGCAAAAAAAUAGUUAGAAAUGCGUAUGAAUAUAUAGCCUAGAGUUGUAGGAGAGAUAAUAGAAUAGACUAUAUUAUGGAAUUUUCAAAGUAUAUAUGCAAUAAGGAGGGUGGAGUCAGGCUAGAUCUAUACUAUAAUAUCCUUAAUGUCUAUAAUUGGAGUCCUCUUUUAUGCAGGUUUCCACUUUAAGCAAUGAUUUUAGAAUCCGAUUCAAUAGAAAAUGAGAAAAUAUGCAAACAAAAUAGAAGAAACAAAUGUAUAUAUAUAUAGGAUAUUAUAUUAUAUAUUCCUUGGUUAGAUUCAUUAUCUAAUCCGAUAUAUGGAUAUGGAAUUCCCUUCUAUGUAGUUCGGACAAUUCACAUUAUCAUUUCAAUUUGAUUUCAAUUUGUACUUUUUAGUUACUUUAAUUCUCCCCAAUAGAGCUUAGAAGUAAGAAUUUAUUGGUUGAUUGUAUCCUUAACCAUUUCUUUUUUUUGACACGAGGAACUACUCACCAUGAAUCCACUAAUUGCUGCUGCUUCUGUUAUUGCUGCUGGAUUGGCCGUAGGGCUUGCUUCUAUUGGACCUGGAGUUGGUCAAGGUACUGCUGCAGGACAAGCUGUAGAAGGUAUUGCGAGCCAGAAGCAGAAGGUAAAAUACGAGGUACUUUAUUGCUUAGUCUAGCUUUUAUGGAAGCUUUAACAAUUUAUGGACUAGUUGUGGCACUAACGCUUUUAUUUGCGAACCCUUUUGUUUAAUCUUAAAAAAAUUCUUUCGAUUUCGAUUAGAUACUUUUUUCUUUUUUUAGUCAAUUGGUAUUUGCUUCCGCAAUUCCAAUUAUAUCAAUACUUUAUUUAAUUUACUCCUAUUUAUUACUCCUGGAGUUAUCUAUUUACCGGGACAGAUAAUACCCCAUUCUAGGAAGGGCUGAGUUGAGUAUUAUUAAUUUAGAAGAUAUGCUCACCUUCUUAUUUCCCGUCCUUAGUUUAGGAAAGUGGAAAGUUUUUUCCUUUUAUUUUAGGAAUUUUGGGAACAGAACAUUUCAACAAAGGAAGUCUUUCACCGGUCAAACAAGACGUAAGACUUAAUCUAAAAGAAAUUACUAGAUUGAAUCUAUUUGCAUUAAAAAAACGAUCAAAAAAGGGCGAGCGAAGUAAGUGAUCGAAAAACUUUGUUCUUUGUUCGUCCUAUCUAUAAGAGGAGAGCAUAUGAAAAAUGUAACCCAUUCUUUCGUUUUUUAGCUCACUGGCCAUCCGCUAGCAGUUUCAGGCUUAAUACCGAUAUUUUAGCAACAAAUCUAAUAAAUCUAACUGUAGUGGUUGGUGUUUUGAUUUUUUUGGAAAGGGAGUGUGUGCGAGUUGUCUAUUUCAAGAAUAGAUUGGAUCUAUCCGGCUGCACUUUAUAAUAUUUUUUAGUAUUUUUUGGAUAAAUAAGAAAAGGGUGCACGAUCUCGACGAAUUACUUCUGAAUAAAUUCAGAAAUCAUAUGGAAGAACCAUAGCAUUUCGCGACUCAUUGGUAAAUCAACUUUGAUUCUCUAUAAACCAAGAAUGUGAGACCAUUAACACGGUUAAAGCUAAACUGCUUGAAGUCCAGGCAAAAAGAGGUACUCUUUCUACAACUAUAUUAGUAUUAGUACCGAAUUUAAACGGGAAAUAGCUAAUGUAAAAUUUAUCUGAUAUAGAACACUCAUAUAGAUAAAAUGGUUUGAACUAUUUACUAGAAAAAAAGGGGGCACCCUGCCCUUUUGUAAUCAAUGCCGAAUCGACGACCUAUGUAUAAAAAAGAGAAUUUUUUUGGAUUUGAAGAAAAAAAAUAAAAAAGAAUUCUAUUAAUUUUCAUUUUCCAUUUAUUUAGUUAGUUUUUCUUAAUGAAAUUGAAAUUAUUAACUAGAGGGCAAAUAAAAAUAAAGAAACAACUUUGCUGACCAUGAUAUAUUUUUAUCUUGGCAGAAGAGUCCUCUUAAUGUUUAUCUAGUCUUAUAUAGGUUUCGGUAUAUUGAAAUAUAAACAUAAAAAAGAAGAUAGAGGAUAGGCUCAUUACUUAAAAAAAAGAUAUGGAAAUAGCUAUAGAAAAAAAAGGAGCGUGAGAGCCAAAUGAAUCGAAAGAUUCAUGUUUGGUUCGGGAAGAGAUCAUAAAAGGUGUAAACUUACAAAAUAAUCUACUUUCAUUAAAAGAUUUAUAAGAUAAACAAAAACAGAGGAUCUUGAGUACUAUUCGAAAUUCAGAAGAAUUGCAUAGAGGGACCAUUGAGCAACUCAAAAAAGCUCGGAUUCGAUUACAGAAAGUCGAACUAGAAGCGGAUGAGUAUCGAAUGAAUGGAUACUCUGAGAUAGAACGAGAAAAAGCAAAUUUGAUUAAUGCUACUUCUAUUAGUUUGGAAUAAUUGGAAAAGUCUAAAAACGAAACCCUUUAUUUUGAAAAACAAAGGGCAAUGAAUCAGGUCCGACAGCGGGUUUUCCAACAGGCCGUACAAGGAGCUCUAGGAACUCUGAAUAGUUGUUUGAAUACCGAGUUACAUUUCCGUACGAUUCGUGCUAAUAUUGGCAUUCUCGGGUCCCUGGAAUGGAAGAGAUAAUUAAAUUAAUUAGGCCUUGAACUUCUACUUUCGUUUAGAAUUUAGGCAUUAUUUUUCCCCUUGCUUCCGAAAAAAGAGUCAGAAACACUAAUGGCAACCCUUCGAGUCAACGAUAUUCAUAAAAUUCUCCGCGAACGUAUUGAACAAUAUAAUAGGAAAGUAGGGAUUGAGAAUAUAGGUCGCGUAGUUCAAGUGGGGGAUGGGAUUGCUCGUAUUAUAGGUCUUGGUGAAAUAAUGUCAGGUGAAUUACUCGAAUUUGCAGAAGGUACUAGGGGUAUUGCUCUGAAUUUGGAAUCCAAAAAUGUUGGGAUUGUAUUAAUGGGCGAUGGGUUGAUGAUACAAGAGGGAAGUUUUGUAAAAGCAACAGGAAGAAUUGCUCAGAUACCCGUGAGUGAGGCUUACUUGGGUCGUGUUGUAAAUGCUCUGGCUAAACCUAUUGAUGGGAAAGGCGAAAUUAUAGCUUCCGAAUCUCGCUUAAUUGAAUCUCCUGCUCCAAGUAUAAUUUCCAGGCGUUCCGUAUACGAACCUCUUCAAACAGGGCUUAUUGCUAUCGAUUCGAUGAUCCCUAUAGGGCGCGGUCAGCGAGAGUUAAUUAUUGGGGACAGACAGACUAGCAAAACAACAGUAGCCACAGAUACAAUUCUCAAUCAAAAAGGCCAAGGUGUAAUAUGUGUUUAUGUAGCUAUCGGUCAAAGAGCAUCCUCCGUAGCUCAAGUAGUAACUACUUUCCACGAGGAGGGGGCUAUGGAAUACACUAUUGUAGUAGCUGAAAUGGCGGAUUCACCUGCUACAUUACAAUACCUUGCUCCUUAUACGGGAGCAGCCCUGGCUGAGUAUUUUAUGUACCGCGAACGGCAUACUUUCAUAAUUUAUGAUGAUCUCUCCAAACAGGCACAAGCUUAUCGCCAAAUGUCCCUUCUAUUAAGAAGACCUCCCGGCCGUGAGGCUUAUCCAGGGGAUGUUUUUUAUUUGCAUUCACGCCUUUUAGAAAGAGCCGCUAAAUUAAAUUCCCUUUUAGGCGAAGGAAGUAUGACCGCUUUACCAAUAGUUGAGACUCAAUCUGGAGACGUUUCCGCCUAUAUUCCUACUAAUGUAAUCUCCAUUACAGAUGGACAAAUAUUCUUAUCUGCGGAUCUAUUCAAUGCCGGAAUUCGACCCGCUAUUAAUGUGGGUAUUUCUGUUUCCAGAGUAGGAUCCGCGGCUCAAAUUAAAGCCAUGAAACAAGUAGCUGGCAAAUCAAAAUUGGAACUAGCGCAAUUCGCAGAGUUACAAGCCUUUGCACAAUUCGCCUCUGCUCUCGAUAAAACAAGUCAGAAUCAAUUGGCAAGGGGUCGACGAUUAAGGGAAUUGCUUAAACAAUCCCAGGCAAAUCCUCUCCCAGUGGAAGAGCAGAUAGCUACUAUUUAUACCGGAACAAGAGGAUAUCUUGAUUCGUUAGAAAUUGAACAGGUAAAUAAAUUUCUGGAUGAGUUACGUAAACAUCUAAAAGAUACUAAACCUCAAUUCCAAGAAAUUAUAUCUUCUAGCAAGACAUUCACCAAGCAAGCGGAAAUCCUUUUGAAGGAAGCUAUUCAGGAACAGCUGGAACGGUUUUCUCUUCAGUAACAAAUAAAUUUUGCAUGUCUACUCUUGUUAGUAGAAUAGGAAUCGUUGAGAAAGCCUUUUCAUUUGAAUCAUGCAAAAAAGUUUUCUUUGUUUUUAGUUUAGUAUAGUUAUUUAAAGAAUAGAUAGAAAUAAGAUUGCGUCCAAUAGGAUUUGAACCUAUACCAAAGGUUUAGAAGACCUCUGUCCUAUCCAUUAGACAAUGGACGCUUUUCUUUCAUAUUUUAUUCUUUCUUUUAUUUUAUUGCUUCUUCCGAGAAAAAACUGUUAGACCAAAACUCUUUUAGGAAAUCAAAAAAUCCAGAUACAAAUGCAUGAUGUAUAUAUUAUAUCAUGCAUAUAUCAUAAAGAAGGAGUAUGGAGGCGGUAGUGGGAGUCGAACCCGCAACCCCAAGGUUAUGAGCCUUAUGAGCUACCAAACUGCUCUAUACUCUUAAACUGAAGAGGGGUAACUAGGGGAUAAAAGAGGGUUGGAUACGCCCCUCUACCAAUAUCUAUACAAAUAGAAUAGUCCAUUUAUACAGAAUGGUAAAGAGGGCUCCUCUAUGAUUAUCAAUUCCAGAAAUCCAUACAAAUACGAAAGGGUAUUUUAUCCUUACCAACUGGAUCUUGUUGCACCCGGUAACAAACACUCAUAAACCAUUUCUCAAAGUACGUGUCCGGAUAGCCCAAAAUGUCGAUAGUUAGCUCUAGGUCUUCCGGUCAAAAAACAACUCGAUGAAGGCGUGUAGGUGCACUAUUACGCGGUAGGGAUUGCAAUUUUUCUCGCAUUUUCGUUUUUCACUCAAACUCAAGGGAGAAACUUUGCUUCUUAUCUUUUUUUUAAAGAUUGACGAAUCAAAUGAUAUUUCUGUUCUAAUUUCUGCCGCUUCUUCUCCCUCUGAAUCAAACUUUUUUUUGCCAUAAUGUGUCGUUGCUAUUAUUACCAAGUAUAUGGUUCUAAUCAUAGAUGGAAAAAUAAAUAGAAAAAGAAAUCUAAAAAGGCAGAUCCUCCCUCUCUAUCAAGAGUAAUGAACUAGGUGCUGAUAUAGUACAAAAAAAACUAAAUUAACCAAACUUGCCUGAUGUUGAGGCAAUCAAGAAAGCUGCAUAAGUGAAUAUAUAACUCACGGAAAAGUGAGCUAAUCCAACCAAUCUUGCUCGCACAAUGGAAAGAGCCACGGGCUUAUCUCUCCAGCGAAUUAAAUUAGCUAAAGGUGUGCGUUCAUGAGCCCAUGCUAAAGUCUCAAUUAAUUCCUGCCAAUACCCCCGCCAGGAAAUUAAGAACAUAAAUCAAGUAGCCCAAACAAGAUGUCCAAAUAAGAACAUCCACGCCCAUACCGAUAAACUAUUCAUCCCAAAAGGAUUAUAUCCAUUGAUAAGUUGUGAAGAGUUUAACCAUAGGUAAUCUCUUAACCAUCCCAUCAAAUAAGUGGAGGAUUCAUUAAAUUGUGAAACGUUGCCCUGCCAUAAUGUGAUAUGUUUCCAAUGCCAAUAAAAAGUAACCCACCCAAUGGUAUUUAACAUCCAUAAAACUGCCAAAUAAAAUGCGUCCCAAGCAGAAAUAUCACAAGUACCGCCGUGCCCUGGGCCGUCACAAGGAAAACUAUAUCCAAAAUCCGUUUUAUCUGGCAUUAAUUUGGAACCGCGUGCAUCUAAAGCGCCCUUUACUAAAAUCAAUGUAGUUGUAUGCAAACCUAGAGCAAUAGCAUGAUGAACCAAGAAAUCCCCAGGUCCUAUUGUUAAGAAAAGCGAAUUACUAUUCUCAUUAACAACAUUCAACCAUCCGGGCAACCAUAGGCUUCGACCCGCAUUGAAAGCGGGGCCAUUCGUUGAAGAUAAGAGUAUAUCGAACCCAUAUGUCGUCUUGCCAUGAGCAGAUUGUAUCCAUUGGGAAAAUAUAGGUUCGAUCAAGAUUUGCUUUUCUGGAGUACCAAAAGCAAGCAUGACGUCGUUAUGAACAUAAAGGCCCAAGGUAUGGAACCCUAGAAAGAGGCUAGCCCAACUUAAAUGAGAUAUGAUAGCUUCUUUAUGGUCUAACAUUCUUGCCAAUACAUUAUCCUCAUUCUGUUCUGGAUUGUAAUCCCUAAUGAAAAAAAUAGCUCCAUGAGCAAAAGCCCCUGUCAUGAUGAACCCUGCAAUAUAUUGGUGAUGAGUAUAUAAAGCAGCUUGAGUAGUAAAGUCUUGUGCUAUGAAUGCAUAAGGAGGUAAAGAGUACAUAUGUUGAGCUACUAAGGAAGUAAUAACCCCUAAAGAAGCUAGAGCAAGACCUAACUGAAAAUGAAUCGAAUUGUUGAUUGUGUCAUAAAGGCCCUUAUGCCCACGCCCUAAUCGACCCCCCGGAGGAGUAUGCGCUUCUAAAAGAUCUUUAAUAUUGUGCCCAAUUCUGAAGUUAGUUCGAUACAUGUGACCGGCAAUGAGAAAAAUAAAUGCAAUAGCUAAAUGAUGGUGAGCCAUAUCGGUCAGCCACAAACUUUGCGUUUGUGGAUGGAUCCCCCAAGAAGAGUUAGAAUGGCAGUUCCUGCUCCUUGAGCGGUACCAAAUAAAUGAUUACUCGAAUCAGGGUUUUGGGCAUAAAGAUUCCAUUGACCCGUCAAAAGGGGUCCCAACCCCUGGGGAUAGGGUAAUACAUCUAAGAAAUUAUUCCAUUGAACGUACCCCCCUGGAUGCGGGAAUAGCAACAUGAACUAAAUGUCCUGUCCAAGCCAAAGAACUUACCCCGAAAAGUCCUGACAAAUGAUGAUUGAGACGAGAUUCCGCGUUUUUGAACCACGAAAGGCUUGGUUUCCAUUUGGGUUGUAGAUGUAACCAACCCGCUAUUAAGGACAGCGUAGAAAGAAAUAAUAGAAAAAGAGCUCCAAUAUAAAGAUGCUCAUUGGUGCGUAAUCCUAUUGUAUACCACCACUGAUAAACUCUAGAAUAAGCAAUAUUCACUGGACCAGCAGCACCUCCUCGAGUAAAGGCUUCCACAGCGGGUUGACCAAAAUGAGGAUCCCAAAUCGCAUGAGCAAUAGGUCUUACGUGUAAAGGAUCCUGUAUCCAUGAUUCAAAAUUUCCUUGCCAAGCUACAUGAAACAGAUUUCCGGACGUCCAUAGAAAGAUUAUUGCUAAUUGCCCAAAGUGAGAAGCAAAAAUGUUCUGAUAAAGACAUUCUUCAGUAAUAUCAUCAUGACUUUCGAAAUCAUGUGCGGUAGCAAUACCAAACCAAAUAUGACGAGUAGUGGGGUCCUGAGCUAAGCCUUGGCUAAACCUGGGAAAUCUUAAUUCCAUAAUGCCUUUCAAAUCCUCCUAGCCACUAUCCUACUGCAAUAAUUCUCGCUAAGAAGAAUGCCCAUGUCGUGGCAAUUCCACCCAGAAGGUAAUGGGUUACUCCUACAGCGCGUCCUUGUAUAAUGCUCAAGGCUCUAGGCUGAGUAGCAGGAGCAACUUUUAAUUUGUUAUGAGCCCAAACGAUAGAUUCAAUGAGUUCUUGCCAAUAACCAUGGCCGCUGAAUAAAAGCAUUAAACUGAAGGCCCAGACAAAAUGAGCACCUAAGAAAAAAAGACCAUAUGCAGAUAAUGAAGAACCAUAAGACUGAAUGACUUGCGAUGCCUGUGCCCACAAGAAAUCUCGAAGCCACCCAUUAAUCGUAAUGGAACUCUGUGCAAAGUUUCCCCCUGUAAUAUGAGUUACCACCCCUUGAUCACUUAUAGUACCCCAAACAUCCGAAUGCAUUUUCCAACUGAAAUGGAAAAUGACUACCGAAAUUGCAUUGUACAUCCAGAAUAAACCUAUGAAAACAUGAUCCCAGGCGGAUACUUGACAUGUUCCCCCUCGGCCAGGCCCAUCGCAAGGAAAGCGAAAACCUAGAUUUGCUUUAUCGGGUAUUAAACGGGAACUCCGAGCAAAUAAAACACCUUUCAAAAGUAUUAAUACAGUCACAUGUAUGGUAAAUGCAUGAAUGUGAUGGACUAAAAAAUCUGCGGUUCCUAAUGGAAUAGGUAACAAAGCCACUUUGCCACCUACUGCUACUAACUCGCCGCCUCCCCACGUUAAGCUAGUACUUGUUGUUGCACCAGGAGCUGUUACGCCAGGCGCAGUAGCAUGGAUAUUUGUACCCAUUGAGCAAAGAUAGGUUGUAAUUGUAUGGCAGUAUCCGAAAACAUAUCUUGUGGACGGCCUAAAGCACUCAUGGUAUCAUUAUGAAUGUACAAGCCAAAACUGUGAAAACCUAGAAAUAUACAUACCCAGUUAAGGUGGGAUAUGAUUGCAUCGCGGUGUCUAAGGACGCGAUCUAAUAGAUCGUUGUAUCGAGUAGUUGGAUCAUACUCUCUUACCAUAAAAAUUGCUGCAUGUGCAGCAGCACCGACUAUUAGAAAUCCGCCAAUCCACAUGUGGUGUGUGAACAAGGAAAGUUGUGUACCAUAGUCAGUAGCUAGGUAUGGAUAGGGAGGCAUAGAAUACAUAUGAUGAGCUACAACAAUGGUUGUAGAGCCUAGCAUAGCUAGGUUAAGAGAUAAUUGAGCAUGCCAUGACGUUGUUAAGAUUUCAUAAAGACCCUUAUGGCCUUGUCCUGUAAAUGGGCCCUUGAAGCCUCCAAAAUAUCUUUAAGUCCAUGGCCAAUACCCCAAUUGGUCCUAUACAUAUGACCUGCGAUUAGGAAAAGAAUAGCAAUAGCUAAAUGAUGGUGCGCAAUAUCGGUCAGCCAGAGACCACCGGUUACUGGAUCUAGUCCUCCGCGAAAAGUCAGAAAUUCUGCGUAUUUGGACCAAUUUAAAGUGAAAAAGGGGUUGCUCCUUCGGCAAAACUAGGAUAAAGUUGAGCCAAAAGGUCCCGAUUCAAGAUAAAUUCAUGAGGAAGUGGUAUCUCUUUAGGAUCCACCCCAGCGUCAAGAAAUUGGUUAAUUGGUAAAGAUACAUGAAUUUGGUGCCCCGCCCAAGAAAGAGACCCAAGUCCUAAUAAUCCCGCUAAGUGGUGAUUCAACAUGGAUUCUACAUCUUGGAACCAGGCCAAUUUGGGAGCGGCUUUGUGAUAAUGGAACCAACCAGCAAAAAGCAUUAACGCUGCAAAAAUCAAUGCACCAAUUGCAGUACAAUAGAGUUGUAAUUCACUAGUUAUUCCAGAUGCUCGCGAAAGCUGAAAAAAACCAGAGGUUAUUUGGAUUCCUCGGAAACCCCCGCCUACAUCACCAUUCAAUAUUUCUUGCCCUACUAUAGGCCAAACUACCUGAGCACUGGGUCCAAUGUGAGUAGGAUCACUUAGCCAUGCUUCAUAAUUGGAAAAACGGGCGCCAUGAAAGUACAUGCCACUCAACCAAAGAAAGAUAAUGGAAAGUUGCCCGAAAUGAGCACUAAAGACUUUUCGAGAAAUCUCCUCCAAAUCACCAGUAUGACUAUCGAAAUCGUGAGCAUCAACAUGUAGGUUCCAGAUCCAAGUGGUAGUAUCAGGGCCCUUAGCUAGUGUUCUUGAGAAAUGGCCGGGUCUGGCCCAUUCCUCAAAAGAUGUUUCUACAGGAUCCCUAUCCACAACAAUUUUUACUUCUGGUUCCGGUGAACGAAUAAUCAUUAAGUCCUCCUCUUUCUGGACAAGACAUACAAAGAGACCCGCCAACUGUCUUUUUAGUGAAUCUUUGAAAGAUAUAUAUUUUGAAAGAUAGAUUUUGAAAGAUAGAUAUUGUGAUUAGUUCUUUUCUUUACUAUCUACCAUCCUUCUAUUUUUUUUUAGUUAUUCACUGGAGCAAUUAUAUAUUGAAGUCAAUCCGAGGCAAGUGUUCGGGUCUAUUAUGACAUAAAGAUUAGGUGCCUAACGGACAUUGUUUAUCUUGAAAAACAAAUAUUUCUCGACGUAAGAAAAAAAUCUUUUUUAUUUUUAAUUUAAGAAACUAGUGUAUUUUUUUGAGGGCAUAAGCUCCUAUCUAUAUCUACUUUCCUUGAGCAUAAUAUAGGGUUUUUUAUUUGAUUCUAAAUUCCAAGAUAACUCAUUAGAAUUAUUAAUAAGAUGGUCCUAAUAUAUUAGCAAUAUUUAUAUUGCCCCCUCUUUUUAUUCACUUUAUUACUUCUAUUCUAGACCCUAUCCCUAUGGUUUAUUCUUAUGAAAUAUCAUAUAAAAUAGAAGGUAUAAGAAAUGGAUAUAAUGAAAUUCUUGAUUCGAUCUUACGACCUAAUUUAUUUGAUUAAUGGAUCAACAACCAAACCACCCAUUUUAUGAAAAAGAAGGAGCAUGGUCUUAUUCAAAUUCAAAGCGCUUCGUAAUCUUCAACCAGUUCUGUGCUUCAAUAUAAUUUCCCGGAGUAAGCGCUAUAGCUUGUUUCCAACAUUCAGCAGCUUGAUCAAACCAAGCUUCCGCAAUUUCUGAAUCACCCUGUAGAAUGGCCUGUUCUCCUUGGUCGGAAUAGGAAGUUCCUUCCCUUAGAACCGUACUUGAGAGUUUCCUACCUCAUACGGCUCAGAAAUUGCUAUCUGAAUUUCCCCUAUCUUAACUGAAUUCGAUUUAUCAAAAAUCGAUCCAAUUUGUUCUUGGGUUAAGCAGAAGAAAUUAAUUACCUAAGUUUCAAACCCUAAUUUUUAUCAAUAAUCAGUUUGAUCUUUUUUCCCACCUUCAGAAGAAUGAAGCAUAGAUAGAUAUAGAGCCUUCAUUCAAAUUUUCUGAAAGGUAACUAUCCCGUUUUCAUAUAUGAAAUCUCUAUAGAAUCCUUGAAAAAGAAUUUUUCCAUAAGAAAGAAAAAAGAACUUACUAUCUUUGGGAUCUGAUACUACACCGCUGCUUAAUCCCUUAGUGGAUCGGCUCUAUUACAUAAGCGGAUUCCUAAAUUUUGCCCCAUAUCAUGGGAUAAGUAAGCAGUUUUUUUAGUUGUAUCGACCCAGUCGCUCACUAAUUGAUCUUUACGGUGCUUUCUCUAUCAAUUUGAGAAACUUUAUCCAUAGAGUAGUAGUAUAGGCCAUACUUUCUUCUUUUUUGAUUCUCGUGAAGUGUCCUUCCUUCCUACAGCUGAUAGGGAAAAAUCGUUGUUUUUAUGAUCCCUAUGUAGAAAGCCCUUUUUUCUAGUAUUUACUAGAAAAUUUGAUCCUCUCUUUUUUUUCUUUCUUUUCUAUAGUGGAGAUAGUCGCACGUAAUGACAGAUCACGGCCAUAUUAUUAAAAGCUUGCGGUAAGAAGGGGUUUCGUUCUAGUGCCCGGAAAUAAUAUUCCAAAGCCUUUGUAUGCUCUCCAUUGCUUGUGUGUAUAAGGCCUAUGUUAUAGAGUAUAUAACUUCGAUCAUAGGGAUCGAUUUCUAGUCGCGUAGCUUCAUAAUAAUUUUGCAAAGCUUCCGCAUAAUUUCCUUCGGAUUGAGCCAACAUCCGUUACGGUCAUUCAUUCUAUUCAAAAAAUCUCCGUUCCAAAACCGUACAUGAGGUUUUCAUCUCAUACGGCUCCUCCCUUCUGUACAUAAUAGUACUAAGCGAAAUAAUCUAUAGAAUCAAAAUAGAAUUAGUCCCGUCUCAUUAUGAACUGAAAGGGGCUGGUAUUUUUCCAAGAAAUCUCUAGCCAACCUUCCCACAAGAGGUUUUUCUUAACACCAAUGAAUUCUAUUAAUGCUAGAGGAAAACGAUAGCUCCAAUAAUUUCUUUGUUCUCAACGCGUCCUAUUUAGAGGAAUUAGCUACUUCAACGAUCUUUGAUGGUUAUAGGGGUAUCCAAAGUACAAACCUGAUGGUUGUUUGUUAUCCCAACCAUUAUUCCUAGCCCUGAUACCGAUCAGGAAAGGGGUAAUUUCUAACAAAGUUUUUCUCUUGUUGAUUCCUAUUUCUAGGUGUAGUGCUUUUCUCCCCUAUGCUGCCUACGGAUACUAAUAGAGUAGGAUUGGCCUGUAAUCCAUACCAUACCAUAUCCUGUAGGUGUAACCUUUCGCUCAAUACUCAAAUCUACAAUUGAAGUAUCUGAAGCCGCAUCAAUCGAGGAUACACGACGGAAGGAAUUGUUAGUUCGCCUCACCUUCCUGAAGCGUGGGUUUGUUUGCUUUACAAAUUUGGUUCUCUCUAUGCCAACCCCCUCUCUUUUUCGUAAGACUGAGGUAUAGGUAGGGCUAAAAAAAGCAAAAAAAAUGAGUCAAAUCGCACCAUCUCUAUAAUAAGUAAAUGCCUUUUUUUCUCCUGAGGUUGUCGGAAUUAUUCACAAUAAAAUAUUGGCUACAAUUGAGGAGGUCUUAUCAAUGAAAUUUCCAUUUACACGGGAUCUAGGCAUAAUUCCCAACCCAUUCUAUAUAGAAUUGUUUUCAUUCCUUCACAAAAUAACAUAAAAACAAACAUAUUCGAUUCUUAUAAUUAUAAAUAGAUUGAUCCAUAUGCUCUACUCUAAAUCCAUAUGCUUUAAAUGGAUAAGAGAGAUAGAGAUAUGGAUUUUCCGCUCAGCUCAAAUUGUAUCCUUUUCCUUCUGCUUGGACACGAAGAGAUAUGAAAUAUUUGACUAAGACUGGAUUUCAUUCCACUUUGCUAUUUCUGAACAACAACUUAUGUUAUCAACUAUUUCGUGUUUUCAAAGUUAUUAAUUGUCUCAUACCCUAUUUGUGAUUUCGAUAGUAUGGUGUAGCGUAUCUUAUGCAAACGGAAUUCUAAGGUUUCUUUAUUUUAUUAUGCAAUAAGAAGAAUUCUUCCAUUUUCUUUUUCUUUAGUUGCGGGAAAACCCAAAUUAAAACUUUUAUUUUAUAGCGAGCGCAAUUUCUAGUAAAAAAUCCUGUAUCCUUCCACUUAGAUCAAAAGGAAUUUUUCCAAUAGAACUAUGGAACCCCCGAGUGGUUGCGGUUGUACCUGUACUGCAGGAAUAAGAAAACUCGCUAUUCACUCAGUUUAUUUUCCAUAAUAAGUUAUGUAGGAGAGAUGGCCGAGCGGUUCAAGGCGUAGCAUUGGAACUGCUAUGUAGACUUUUGUUUACCGAGGGUUCGAAUCCCUCUCUUUCCGUUUUUCUUAUUUCAUCAACGUUAAGGAUCACAAUGUAUCAAAUCAAAUAACAAUUUUUUCCAGCAAUAAUAUCUUAUAUUAUCUUAUUUUGAUAUAAUAGAAAUUAGAAAUUCUCUAUAGCAAAUUACUGUGGUAUGUAAAAUACACAUAGAGGAAAAAAGAAAAAAGGAUCCUAAUCCUAGGGUUAAUCAAUUUUAGCUAGUUGAUGGGAAAAUACAAAUUAAUGGUAAUGGUCUUAGGGCGAUUUAGUUCGGGGAAAGGGGAAGGGGAAGAAAAUUCUAUGAACCUUUCCUUUUUUGGUUAAGUUCAAGUCUGACGAGAGUAAUAUUCUACAACUAACAACUCAUUUAUUUUGAGACCGACCCACUUCCUAUCUAGGAUUUUAUUUACUAGUCCUUUAUAUUCCAACGUGUCAAUCGCCAAAUGCUUUGGCAAUUUCCCCGGGUCCGAUGAAGCAAUAUAAUUUUGAACCAGACCUUUUGAUCUUUGGCUAUCUUUCGUAGUAAUAAUAUCUCGGGGUUUGCAACGAAAACUUGGUAUAUUGACUAUACGACCAUUAACUAAAAUAUGUCUAUGGUUGACUAAUUGGCGGGCCCCAGGAAUGGUUGAAGCCAUACCAAUCGAAAAAGGAUAUUAUCCAAACGCAUUUCAAGUAAUUGUAGUAAAACCUGGCCUGUUGACCUUUUUGCUUUUCCAGCGAUAUGUACAUAUCUAAGUAAUUGUCGUUCUGUCAGACCAUAAUGAAAACGCAAUUUCUGUUUUUCUUGAACACGAAUACGAUAUUGCUCCUUUUUCCCAGAAAUGAAUUUAUUUUUAAGAUUACCUUUGAUUUAGGUGUUUUUCUAGUGAGUCCUGGUAAAGCUCCCAGACGGCGUAUUUUUUUAAACGAGGUCCUCGAUAACGGGACAUGAAGACUCCUUUUUUUAUUUUAUUGAAAUUUCAUUUUACACAAUUAAUUUCAUUGUAUUUACAUUACAGAAUACAUCGAAAUUAAAACUGAAUUAAACUACAGGAUAAACAGAGUAAAAUCAACUAAAGUACCCAAAAAAAUGGAAUUUCAUCAAAAUCUUUAUUUUUUGUAUAUAUAUUAUUUAUUUUAUUGUUUUGUAUCUAGCAAAAUUGUAAGGUAAAAAACAUAAAAGAUCCUGGAUUCUCCAUUUAAUUCGGAAAAAAAGAGAUUCUUGUUCGUAGAACAUCGAUAGAGAAAAAAAGCCGACUAUCGGAUUUGAACUGAUGACCCUCGCAUUACAAAUGCGAUGCUCUAACCUCUGAGCUAAGUGGGCUUACAUAACGGAAAUAGUGUAACAAAUAGAAAUAGGUAUAGUAUAGGAAAUCCAUAAAAUCUCAGAUAUUAGUUAUUAAUCUUAGCUAUUAACUAGUUCUAAAUUUGAAGUUAUACUUAUAAAAAUAAAAAAAUACUAAAACUUCUUAAAGAUAAAGUUAGCUUGAUAUGCUUAACUAUAGGAUAUUAAAAAAUAAAAUUAUAGAAUUUAUUGGUAUUUUCAUUUGAUCAUUAUAGACUUUAUUAUUUGUUAAUAAUUUGAGGAUUAAUAUUUCACUAAGGGGAACAUAGAGUCAGAGUAAAUAAAAUUGCUAAUUCUGAUUAGAAAAAAAGAAUAAAUAUCAAGCGUUAUAGUAUAAUUUUGAAUACUAUAAAAAAGUAAGACGGGAGGUGGGGGAGAUAAAAACUUUUGGAUAUAUUGAUUCGGAUUGAAUUGCAAAUACAUCAAGGAUAGAAUCAAUUCAAUUGUGAAUUGCAAUAAGCAAGCGAGGUCUCUCAAAUAGAGUCGAACUGAACUGCUAGACUACGUUGAGUGAUGAACUCAAUGAUUCAAAAAAAACUAAGAGAUGGAUGAAAUUACACAAGGAAUCCUGGUCUCAAAGAAGAGGGAAAUGGGGAUAUGGCGAAAUCGGUAGCCGCUACGGACUUGAUUGUAUUGAGCCUUGGUAUGGAAACCUGCUAAGUGGUAACUUCCAAAUUCAGAGAAACCCUGGAAUUGAAAAAGGGCAAUCCUGAGCCAAAUCCGUGUUUUGAGAAAACAAGGGGUUCUCGAACUAGAAUACAAAGGAAAAGGAUAGGUGCAGAGACUCAAUGGAAGCUGUUCUAACGAAUCGAGUUAAUUACGUUGUGUUGUUAGUGGAAUUCCUUCUAAUUCUAAAUUAGAGAAAGUGGGGUUUUUAUACCUUAUACAUUUAAUAAACACGUAUAGAUACUGACAUAGCAAACGAUUAAUCACAGAACUCAUAUUAUAUUAUAAUUAUAAUAUAGGUUCUUUAUCUUUUUAAAAAAUGAAAUUAGAAAUGAUAAUGAUUAUGAAAUAAAAAACUCAUAUCAUAAUUUUUUUUUUCAUUAUUGUGAAUCCAGUCCAAUCGAAUAUUGAAUAAUCAAAUUCUUCAAUUUAAAUUCAAAGUUUUUGAGAUCUUUAAAAAGUGGAUUAAUCGGACGAGGACAAAGAGAGAGUCCCAUUCCACAUGUCAAUACUGACAACAAUGAAAUUUCUAGUAAAAGGAAAAUCCGUCGACUUUAUAAGUUGUGAGGGUUCAAGUCCCUCUAUCCCCAAAUCCUCUUUUAUUCCCUAACUAUACUAUAUUAUUAUUAUUUAUCCUGUUUUUUAUCUUUUUAUCAAUGCAAUGGCAAUGGGUUUAAGAUUCAUUAGCUUUCUCAUUCUACUCUUUCACAAAGGAAUGCGAAGAGAACUCAAUGGAUCUUAUCCUAUUCAUUGAAUAGAUUUCUUUUUUAUUAGAGUAUCGGCAAGAAAUCUUGGUUAUUCACUCUAUUUUUAAGUUUUAUUUAAGUAAACCAUGCACAAUGCAUAGGACUACCCCCCCCCCCAUUUUCAAAUUUCAAAUUUGAAAUACUUUAAUUAAUUUUUAGUCCUUUUAAUUGACAUAGAUACAAAUACUCUACUAGGAUGAUGCACAAGAAAAGGUCAGGAUAGCUCAGUUGGUAGAGCAGAGGACUGAAAAUCCUCGUGUCACCAGUUCAAAUCUGGUUCCUGGCAGAGAAAAAAAAAGAUCCACCGAAUAGGUAUUGAUCCAAAUACCUCGAGAUGGAUUGUGAUACAUAUUCAUUAAUAAUAUUUAUUCAUCUAAGUGGAUAAAUCUAUAAUAUAAAUAUAGAGGCACUUCUUUUUCUUUUUAAAGAAGUUUUAAAAUAUAUCUUUUCUUUAUGAUAAAGAAGGGGGUGAGAUUCCCCUUUAUUUUUUUGCGUUUCUUAAUUUUGUAUUCCGCUAUUCCGACGAAUAUUUUUUUAGUCUUGCUUAUCUUUAUCUUAUCUUAUUUUCCUAGUUGUGCUAAGUAAUGUGCGCGGUACAAAGUUCCUGGUUGAGAACUUCUUUGAGUCAUCCUAUUUUUCUGUUCAUAUGAAGGAAAUUAAUAUGCGAUUUUCAAAAUAGGGGAAUCCAAAUGAAACCCUUUUUUUGCUCAGUCUAUCUGGAAUGCUUUUGUAUAAUUAGGAAUUAAUUAUAAAUAGGUAUUCCGUUUCAUCUAGGAAAAGAACCUAAAAAUAUUCCUUGACUUGAAUAAAAUCUGGAGUUGUGUUGUAUAAGUGAGCAUGAAUUUCUUAUCAUUCAAUGAGCAUCUUGUAUUUCAUAAAAAUUGGGGGUUAUAUAAUCCUUACGUAAGGGCCAGCCUAUCCAACUUUCAGGCAUUAGGAUACGUUUAAGGCACGGAUGAUUAUCAUAAGAGAUUCCCACCAUAUCAUAAGAUUCGCGUUCUUGAAAAUUGGCACUUCUCCAAAUCCAGAAGACAGACGGAAUUCUAGGAUUAUCCUUUUGGGCAAAGACUUUUAUGCAGACUUCUUCUGGAUUAUCUAUACCAUAUUGUAUUCUCGUAAGAUGAUACACGCUAGCUAAAGAUCCACCGGGUGCUACAUCAUAAGCACAUUGGGAGCGUAAAUAAUUGUAACCAUAUACAUAUAAAAUGACAGCAAUGGAAUCCCAAUCCCCUGCUUUUGUUUGUAAAGUCUCUAUUCCUCGGUGAUCAAAGCCCAAAGAUCUAUGAACCACCUCAUGUUUGACUAGCCAAUUAGAUAACCAACCCUGCUACAUUGUCUUCAUCUCUCCCUCUUUGUAUAAAUAUUUCACAUUUCGGAUGUAAGUUUGAAAGAUUGCCCUGCUUUUUAUUUUUCUACACAAAAGAGCCCCUCUCCUAAUUCACUAAUUUGUAGGAAGGUACUGAACUUUUGGAUUUGAAAAAAGUUUCAGAAGAUAUAUCUAAUGUAGAUGGUGAUUGAUAGAGCAAUUCUUGCUCAUAAGUUCCUGUAUGAGUACUGCGCCUAACAUAAAGCUUGUGACUGGUAGUAAAACAUCUAUUUUUAUUUUGAGAUAGAGUUUGAUCCUCAACUAUUUCUCGCGAUAUCUUCUUACGAAGUUUUGUUAGGGCAUCUAUAACUGCCUCCGGUUUAGGUGGGCAGCCCGGCAAGUAGACAUCCACAGGAAUUAACUUAUCAACUCCCCGAACAGUACUAUAGGAAUCUGUACUGAACAUUCCCCCUGUAAUAGUACAGGCUCCCAUAGCAAUGACGUAUUUUGGUUCAGGCAUUUGCUCGUAUAAUCUCACUAAAGAGGGAGCCAUUUUCAUUGUUACCGUACCGGCUGUUAAAAUUAGGUCUGCUUGCCUAGGACUUGAUCUUGGUACCAAUCCAUAACGAUCAAAGUCGAAUCGUGAGCCUAUUAAUGAAGCAAAUUCAAUGAAACAACAACUGGUACCGUAUAGAAGGGGCCAUAAACUGGAGAGUCUUGACCAAUUCGAAAGAUCAUUUGGUGUAGUUGAAAUAACAGAAUUGGAAUUUGUUUGGUCAAGUAAGGGAAACUCAAUCAAAUUCAUAACUGUCUCAAUAGAAUCUUUUCCUUCUUUUUUUUGUCUAAAUAUUCAGUUAAGACCAUUCCAAGGCUCCUUUUCGCCAUGCAUAAACUAAACCAACAACUAAGAUAAGCACGAAAAUCAAAGCUUCAAUAAAAACGGAUACACCCAAUACGUCGAAACUCAUUGCCCAAGGGUAUAGAAAGACGGUUUCCACAUCAAAAACAACAAAAACGAGCGCAAACAUAUAAUAGCAUAUUCGGAAUUGUACCCAAGCCCCUCCCAUGGGUUCUAUACCCGAUUCAUAACUAGAAAGCUUCUCUGGUCCUUCACUAACCGGGGCUAAAAGUCCUGAAAUCGAAAAUGCCAAAAUAGGAAUAAGGCUUGCUAUUAUUAGAAAUGUCCAAAAAAAUAUCAUAUUCGUGAAGCAGAAACAUAAUGUACUCCCAUUAAUGUGGAAUAGCCGGAACUUAAAUUAGUCAAUUCAAUUCAGCAUUGUCAAUUUAUCCAGAACUUCUCUCUUUUCCUCGGUGAAACAAGAAUCUUUUUUGUUCAAACAAAAGCGCUUAGUUUAGCCUUUGUUUCCUCUAUGCUGCAUCUUCUUUAAAGAUUCAUCCAAUGGAAUCCCAACUCCCUUUCUUUUGGAUUUCCAUUCUAUUUAGAUAUGGUGUAUGUAGAUCUAAUUCUUAUAUAAAGAAAACUUUCUCAUUUCACUUUGUCUCGCUUUCUCUAGAAUCUAUCUUGCCGAGAUCUUCAUCCCUAAAGAUACUUGACAAUAGUAUUAUUGGAGUGGAUACACAACUCACAAAAAAUACAAGAAGUCGACUAGGCGGACUGGUCCGAGUGAAGAGAAAAAAAAGCCAUACGGAACUCAAAAUAUUUUCCGGAGAUAUUCAUUUUCCUGAAGAGGCGGAUAAGAUAUUAGGUGGCUGUUUGAUACCGCCAGAAAGACAAAAAAAAGAUUCUAAGGAAUCAAAAAAAAGGAAAAAUUGGGUCUAUGUUCAACGGAAAAAAAUUCUCAAGAGCAAGGAAAAGUAUUUUGUUUCCGUUCGCCCUACAGUGGCAUAUGAAAUGGACGAAGGAAGAAAUUUAGCAACACUUUUCCCGCAGGAUCUCUUGCAAGAAGAAAAUAAUCUCCAAAUUCGACUUGUCAAUUUUAUUUCUCAUGAAAAUAGCAAGUUAACUCAAAGAAUUUAUCACACAAAUAGUCAAUUUGUUAGAACUUGCUUAGUAGUGAAUUGGGAACAAGAAGAAAAAGAAAAGGCUGGUGCUUCCCUUGUUGAGGUAAGAGCAAAUGAUCUUAUUCGCGAUUUCCUAAGAAUUGAGUUAGUCAAGUCCACUAUUUCGUAUAC
This 23147-nucleotide long non-coding RNA is filed under the name Triticum aestivum (bread wheat). Lineage: Eukaryota; Viridiplantae; Streptophyta; Magnoliopsida; Poales; Poaceae. The record is from RNAcentral.